Molecule: ribosomal RNA, 861 nt
Filed under: uncultured bacterium
Lineage: Bacteria
Description: bacterial SSU rRNA
Rfam family: Bacterial small subunit ribosomal RNA
Source: RNAcentral
CAAUNUAUGCUUUGGAAACUGUUAGACUUGAGUGCAGAAGGGGAGAGUGGAAUUNCAUGUGUAGCGGUGAAAUGCGUAGAUAUAUGGAGGAACACCGGUGGCGAAAGCGGCUCUCUGGUCUGUCACUGACGCUGAGGCUNGAAAGCGUGGGUAGCGAACAGGAUUAGAUACCCUGGUAGUNCACGCCGUAAACGCUGAGUGCUAGGUGUUAGGUCCUUUCCGGGACUUAGUGCCGACGCUAACGCAUUAAGCACUCCGCCUGGGGAGUACGACCGCAAGGUUGAAACUCAAAGGAAUUGACGGGGGCCCGCACAAGCGGUGGAGCAUGUGGUUUAAUUCGAAGCAACGCGAAGAACCUUACCAGGUCUUGACAUCCCGAUGCCCGCUCUAGAGAUAGAGUUUUUCUUCGGAACAUCGGAGACAGGUGGUGCAUGGUUGUCGUCAGCUCGUGUCGUGAGAUGUUGGGUUAAGUCCCGCAACGAGCGCAACCCUUAUUGUUAGUUGCCAUCAUUAAGUUGGGCACUCUAGCGAGACUGCCGGUAAUAAACCGGAGGAAGGUGGGGAUGACGUCAAAUCAUCAUGCCCCUUAUGACCUGGGCUACACACGUGCUACAAUGGUUGGUACAACGAGUCGCAAGCCGGUGACGGCAAGCUAAUCUCUGAAAGCCAAUCUCAGUUCGGAUUGUAGGCUGCAACUCGCCUACAUGAAGUCGGAAUCGCUAGUAAUCGCGGAUCAGCACGCCGCGGUGAAUACGUUCCCGGGCCUUGUACACACCGCCCGUCACACCACGAGAGUUUGUAACACCCAAAGUCGGUGAGGUAACCAUUUAUGGGGCCAGCCGCCUAAGGUGGGANGGAUGA